GUGCAGCAGGCGAGAAUUUUUCUCAAUGGGGGAAACCCUGGAGGAGCGACGCCGCGUGGAGGAUGAAGGUUUUCGGAUUGUAAACUCCUGUCAUUAGGGAACAAGUGCCGCCGAGUAACUACCGGCGGCUUGAUAGUACCUGAAGAGGAAGGGACGGCUAACUCUGUGCCAGCAGCCGCGGUAAUACAGAGGUCCCAAGCGUUGUUCGGAUUCAUUGGGCGUAAAGGGUGCGUAGGUGGUGCCGUAAGUUGGGUGUGAAAUCUCGGGGCUCAACCCCGAAACUGCACUCAAUACUGCGGUGCUGGAGUACUGGAGAGGAGAUUGGAAUUCACGGUGUAGCAGUGAAAUGCGUAGAUAUCGUGAGGAAGACCAGUGGCGAAGGCGGAUCUCUGGACAGUUACUGACACUGAGGCACGAAGGCCAGGGGAGCAAACGGGAUUAGAUACCCGUGUAGU
RNAcentral lists this ribosomal RNA (455 nucleotides) under uncultured organism. RNAcentral describes it as "bacterial SSU rRNA". It matches the Rfam family "Bacterial small subunit ribosomal RNA", at positions 346 to 794 of the family's 1533-position model. The record is from RNAcentral.